GACGAACGCUGGCGGCGUGCCUAAUACAUGCAAGUUGAGCGCUGAAGGUUGGUACUUGUACCAACUGGAUGAGCAGCGAACGGGUGAGUAACGCGUGGGGAAUCUGCCUUUGAGCGGGGGACAACAUUUGGAAACGAAUGCUAAUACUGCAUAAAAACUUUAAACACAAGUUUUAAGUUUGAAAGAUGCAAUUGCAUCACUCAAAGAUGAUCCCGCGUUGUAUUAGCUAGUUGGUGAGGUAAAGGCUCACCAAGGCGAUGAUACAUAGCCGACCUGAGAGGGUGAUCGGCCGCAUUGGGACUGAGACACGGCCCAAACUCCUACGGGAGGCAGCAGGAGGGAAACUUGGGCAAGGGACGAAAGUCUGACCGAGCAACGCCGCGUGAGGGAAGAAGGUUUUCGGAUCGUAAAACUCGGUUGGUAGGGAAGAACGUUGGUGAGAGUGGAAAGCUCAUCAAGUGACGGUAACUACCCAGAAAGGGACGGCUAACUACGUG
This 497-nucleotide ribosomal RNA is filed under the name uncultured bacterium. Its description in RNAcentral is "partial 16S ribosomal RNA". It matches the Rfam family "Bacterial small subunit ribosomal RNA", at positions 28 to 507 of the family's 1533-position model. The record is from RNAcentral.